Molecule: ribosomal RNA, 464 nt
Filed under: uncultured bacterium
Lineage: Bacteria
Description: bacterial SSU rRNA
Rfam family: Bacterial small subunit ribosomal RNA
Source: RNAcentral
AGAAAGUGGAGCAAUCCAUGAGUAAAGUGGCGACCGGGUGAGUAACACGUGACUAACCUACCUCCGAGUGGGGAAUAACUCCGGGAUACCGGGGCUAAUACCGCAUAACAUCGCAAGAUCAAAGCAGCAAUGCGCUUGGAGAGGGGGUCGCGGCUGAUUAGCUAGUUGGCGGGGUAACGGCCCACCAAGGCGAAGAUCGGUAUCCGGCCUGAGAGGGCGCACGGACACACUGGAACUGAAACACGGUCCAGACUCCUACGGGAGGCAGCAGUGGGGAAUUUUGCGCAAUGGGGGAAACCCUGACGCAGCAACGCCGCGUGGAGGAUGAAGCCCUUUGGGGCGUAAACUCCUUUCGACCAAGACGAUAAUGACGGUACUGGUGGAAGAAGCACCGGCUAACUCUGUGCCAGCAGCCGCGGUAAUACAGAGGGUGCGAGCGUUGUUCGGAAUUAUUGGGCGUAAAG